GAGUUUGAUCUUGGCUCAGGAUGAACGCUAGCGGCAGGCUUAACACAUGCAAGUCGAGGGGUAUAGGUUUUCGGACCUAGAGACCGGCGCACGGGUGCGUAACGCGUAUGCAAUCUGCCUUUUACAGAGGGAUAGCCCAGAGAAUUUGGAUUAAUACCUCAUAGUAUAUGUCUUUCGCAUGUUAGACAUAUUAAAGUUCCAACGGUAAAAGACGGGCAUGCGUCCUAUUAGCUAGAUGGUAAGGUAACGGCUUACCAUGGCAACGAUAGGUAGGGGUCCUGAGAGGGAGAUCCCCCACACUGGUACUGAGACACGGACCAGACUCCUACGGGAGGCAGCAGUGAGGAAUAUUGGACAAUGGGCGCAAGCCUGAUCCAGCCAUGCCGCGUGCAGGAAGACGGUCCUA
RNAcentral lists this ribosomal RNA (406 nucleotides) under uncultured Flavobacterium sp. Its description in RNAcentral is "bacterial SSU rRNA". It matches the Rfam family "Bacterial small subunit ribosomal RNA", at positions 9 to 419 of the family's 1533-position model. Lineage: Bacteria; Pseudomonadati; Bacteroidota; Flavobacteriia; Flavobacteriales; Flavobacteriaceae. The record is from RNAcentral.